RNAcentral lists this ribosomal RNA (268 nucleotides) under uncultured bacterium. RNAcentral's name for it is "partial 16S ribosomal RNA". It matches the Rfam family "Bacterial small subunit ribosomal RNA", at positions 334 to 599 of the family's 1533-position model. The record is from RNAcentral.
UUCUCCUACGGGGGGCAGCAGUGAGGAAUAUUGGUCAAUGGGCGGGAGCCUGACCCCGCCAAUCCGCGUGAUGGAAGAAGGUACAGCGUAUCGUAAACCUCUUUUGUCAGGGAACAAAGGCGGGGACUAGUCCCCGGAUGAGGGUACCUGAAGAAAAAGCAUCGGCUAACUCCGUGCCAGCAGCCGCGGUAAUACGGAGGAUGCGAGCGUUAUCCGGAUUUAUUGGGUUUAGAGGGUGCGCAGGCGGCCUGUUAAGUCAGCGGUAAAA